ACGGGUGAGUAACGCGUGGGAAUCUACCCAUCUCUACGGAACAACUCCGGGAAACUGGAGCUAAUACCGUAUACGUCCUUCGGGAGAAAGAUUUAUCGGAGAUGGAUGAGCCCGCGUUGGAUUAGCUAGUUGGUGGGGUAAUGGCCUACCAAGGCGACGAUCCAUAGCUGGUCUGAGUGGAUGAUCAGCCACAUUGGGACUGAGACACGGCCCAAACUCCUACGGGAGGCAGCAGUGGGGAAUAUUGGACAAUGGGCGAAAGCCUGAUCCAGCCAUGCCGCGUGAGUGAUGAAGGCCCUAGGGUUGUAAAGCUCUUUCAACGGUGAAGAUAAUGACGGUAACCGUAGAAGAAGCCCCGGCUAACUUCGUGCCAGCAGCCGCGGUAAUACGAAGGGGGCUAGCGUUGUUCGGAAUUACUGGGCGUAAAGCGCACGUAGGCGGAUUGUUAAGUUAGGGGUGAAAUCCCAGGGCUCAACCCUGGAACUGCCUUUAAUACUGGCAAUCUCGAGUCCGAGAGAGGUGAGUGGAAUUCCGAGUGUAGAGGUGAAAUUCGUAGA
This 557-nucleotide ribosomal RNA is filed under the name uncultured Mesorhizobium sp. Its description in RNAcentral is "bacterial SSU rRNA". It matches the Rfam family "Bacterial small subunit ribosomal RNA", at positions 102 to 694 of the family's 1533-position model. Lineage: Bacteria; Pseudomonadati; Pseudomonadota; Alphaproteobacteria; Hyphomicrobiales; Phyllobacteriaceae. The record is from RNAcentral.